RNAcentral lists this ribosomal RNA (808 nucleotides) under uncultured bacterium. Its description in RNAcentral is "bacterial SSU rRNA". It matches the Rfam family "Bacterial small subunit ribosomal RNA", at positions 59 to 917 of the family's 1533-position model. The record is from RNAcentral.
CAGUCGAACGCAGUAGCAAUACUGAGUGGCAGACGGGUGAGUAACAUGUGGGAAUCUGCCUUGUGGUUCAGGACAACAUUGGGAAACCGAUGCUAAUACUGGAUAAGCCCUUACGGGGAAAGUUUUAAUGCCAUAAGAUGAGCCCGCAUUUGAUUAGUUAGUUGGUGAGGUAAUGGCUCACCAAGACAAUGAUCAAUAGCUGAUCUGAGAGGAUGAUCAGCCACACUGGGACUGAGACACGGCCCAGACUCCUACGGGAGGCAGCAGUGGGGAAUCUUGCACAAUGGAGGAAACUCUGAUGCAGCGAUGCCGCGUGAGUGAAGAAGGCCUUUGGGUUGUAAAGCUCUUUUGUAGGGGAAGAUAAUGACUGUACCCUAAGAAUAAGGUCCGGCUAACUUCGUGCCAGCAGCCGCGGUAAUACGAAGGGACCUAGCGUAGUUCGGAAUUACUGGGCGUAAAGCGCGCGUAGGCCGUUGAGUUAGUUAAUUGUGAAAUCCCAAAGCUUAACUUUGGAACUGCAAUUAAAGCUGCUCGACUAGAGUUUGAUAGAGGAAAGCGGAAUACAUAGUGUAGAGGUGAAAUUCGUAGAUAUUAUGUAGAACACCAGUUGCGAAGGCGGCUUUCUGGAUCAACACUGACGCUGAGGCGCGAAAGUAUGGGUAGCAAAGAGGAUUAGAUACCCUCGUAGUCCAUACCAUAAACGAUGAUUGCUAGAUGUUGGAAAUUUAUUUUCAGUAUCGCAGCUAACGCAUUAAGCAAUCCGCCUGGGGAGUACGACCGCAAGGUUAAAACUCAAUGAAUUGACGGG